Molecule: ribosomal RNA, 394 nt
Filed under: uncultured Anaeromyxobacter sp.
Lineage: Bacteria; Pseudomonadati; Myxococcota; Myxococcia; Myxococcales; Anaeromyxobacteraceae
Description: bacterial SSU rRNA
Rfam family: Bacterial small subunit ribosomal RNA
Source: RNAcentral
CGAGAAAGCCCGCAAGGGUGAGUAAAGCGGCGCACGGGUGCGUAACACGUGGGUAAUCUGCCCUAGAGUCCGGAAUAACUCGCCGAAAGGCGUGCUAAUGCCGGAUGAGACCACGGGAGCCUCGGCUCCUGAGGGAAAAGGUGGCCUCUGUAAACAAGCUAUCGCUCUAGGAUGAGCCCGCGGCCCAUCAGUUCGUUGGCGGGGUAAUGGCCCACCAAGGCUACGACGGGUAGCUGGUCUGAGAGGACGAUCAGCCACACUGGAACUGAGACACGGUCCAGACUCCUACGGGAGGCAGCAGUGGGGAAUCUUGCGCAAUGGGCGAAAGCCUGACGCAGCAACGCCGCGUGUGUGAUGAAGGUCUUCGGAUCGUAAAGCACUGUCGCGAGGGACG